Molecule: long non-coding RNA, 805 nt
Organism: Rosa rugosa (rugosa rose)
Lineage: Eukaryota; Viridiplantae; Streptophyta; Magnoliopsida; Rosales; Rosaceae
Exons: 4
Source: RefSeq, a predicted model, not a curated record
UUCCCAUUAAACCUGUAGGUUGAAGAUCUUGCUGACUUUUCCUUCCAGACAACGCCUAUGUAUAUAGAUGUGGAUGAUGGGAGAACUAAGGCCACGAAUAUAGGACUGCAACAGGACUAUUGUCUUGUGCCAAGUGCCAAGAGAUUUUAUUCUCCUAUAUUCUUUCCUGACGAGGAAUCUAUCAAAGAAAGUGAUGGUCUUCUUCUCUUCUUGCAACUCAGUUUCUUGGAAACAAUAAGUUGAAUGGCGCUCUCUCUGAAUCGAAAAGCUCAUCUCUUCUCAAUGUAUGAGUUAAAUGCCUCACUAAGCUGCACAUGAGUUAAAUGCAGACGAGUAGACCACCUACCAGAUUUGCAGCAAAGGUUUUUGUUCUUUUUUCUGCAAUAUCUUGUUCCUCAUUGAGAAUGAAGACUAGUUGCUCUUGUAAUAUGCAGCAUAAGUCUAUAUGGGGGUCAAGAAAGAUUUGUGUCUCUGCAAUGGGUCAGCAGGUUUGUGUCUCUGCAAGCUCACUGGCCAUUCCGUUUUCUAUGACCACUUCUAUGAUUUGGGUGAUUCCGUUCAUGAUCAGAUUGUGAAACUAGUACAGCAGUACAGCAGUAUAGCUAGCUAGUUCCUUUAUUAACUUGUGUCUAGUAGAAAUUUUUCAUUCAUUAAGCAUUUAGACUUGUCUUCAGAUCCAGAUUAGUAUAUAUGAGUUAUUUUGAACUGAAGUUCAUGAUUAAGUUUGUGUACAUGAGAUACUAGUGGAUUAAUGGAAAUUGCAAUGAAUGAUUUUGAAUGUGGAUUUUAUGGUUUCAUACUUUCA